This 801-nucleotide ribosomal RNA is filed under the name uncultured bacterium. Its description in RNAcentral is "bacterial SSU rRNA". It matches the Rfam family "Bacterial small subunit ribosomal RNA", at positions 8 to 798 of the family's 1533-position model. The record is from RNAcentral.
AGAGUUUGAUCAUGGCUCAGAUUGAACGCUGGCGGCAGGCCUAACACAUGCAAGUCGAGCGGUAACACAGAGGAGCUUGCUCCUUGGGUGACGAGCGGCGGACGGGUGAGUAAUGCCUGGGGAUCUGCCCGAUAGAGGGGGAUAACUACGGGAAACUGUAGCUAAUACCGCAUAACGUCUACGGACCAAAGUGGGGGCUCUUCGGACCUCAUGCUAUCGGAUGAACCCAGGUGGGAUUAGCUAGUUGGUGAGGUAAUGGCUCACCAAGGCGACGAUCUCUAACUGGUUUGAGAGAAUGACCAGUCACACUGGAACUGAGACACGGUCCAGACUCCUACGGGAGGCAGCAGUGGGGAAUAUUGCACAAUGGGCGCAAGCCUGAUGCAGCCAUGCCGCGUGUGUGAAGAAGGCCUUCGGGUUGUAAAGCACUUUCAGCGGGGAGGAAGGGUCACUAGUUAAUACCUAGUGGCAUAGACGUUACUCGCAGAAGAAGCACCGGCUAACUCCGUGCCAGCAGCCGCGGUAAUACGGAGGGUGCAAGCGUUAAUCGGAAUUACUGGGCGUAAAGCGCACGCAGGCGGUUUGUUAAGUCAGAUGUGAAAUCCCCGAGCUCAACUUGGGAACUGCAUUUGAAACUGGCAAGCUAGAGUCUUGUAGAGGGGGGUAGAAUUCCAGGUGUAGCGGUGAAAUGCGUAGAGAUCUGGAGGAAUACCGGUGGCGAAGGCGGCCCCCUGGACAAAGACUGACGCUCAGGUGCGAAAGCGUGGGGAGCAAACAGGAUUAGAUACCCCGGUAGUCCAA